GAUGAACGCUAGCGGCAGGCUUAACACAUGCAAGUCGAGGGGUAGAGUUAGCUUGCUAACUUGAGACCGGCGCACGGGUGCGUAACGCGUAUGCAAUCUACCUUGUACAGAGGGAUAGCCCAGAGAAAUUUGGAUUAAUACCUCAUAGUAUUAUUGAACGGCAUCAUUUGAUUAUUAAAGUCCCAACGGUACAAGAUGAGCAUGCGUCCCAUUAGCUAGAUGGUAAGGUAACGGCUUACCAUGGCAACGAUGGGUAGGGGUCCUGAGAGGGAGAUCCCCCACACUGGUACUGAGACACGGACCAGACUCCUACGGGAGGCAGCAGUGAGGAAUAUUGGUCAAUGGGCGCAAGCCUGAACCAGCCAUGCCGCGUGCAGGAAGACGGUCCUAUGGAUUGUAAACUGCUUUUAUACGGGAAGAAACACUGCUACGUGUAGCAGCUUGACGGUACCGUAAGAAUAAGCAUCGGCUAACUCCGUGCCAGCAGCCGCCGUAA
RNAcentral lists this ribosomal RNA (496 nucleotides) under uncultured bacterium. RNAcentral describes it as "partial 16S ribosomal RNA". It matches the Rfam family "Bacterial small subunit ribosomal RNA", at positions 28 to 523 of the family's 1533-position model. The record is from RNAcentral.